GACGAACGCUGGCGGCGUGCUUAACACAUGCAAGUCGAACGGAAAGGCCCUGCUUUUGUGGGGUGCUCGAGUGGCGAACGGGUGAGUAACACGUGAGUAACCUGCCCUUGACUUUGGGAUAACUUCAGGAAACUGGGGCUAAUACCGGAUAGGAGCUCCUGCUGCAUGGUGGGGGUUGGAAAGUUUCGGCGGUUGGGGAUGGACUCGCGGCUUAUCAGCUUGUUGGUGGGGUAGUGGCUUACCAGGGCUUUGACGGGUAGCCGGCCUGAGAGGGUGACCGGCCACAUUGGGACUGAGAUACGGCCCAGACUCCUACGGGAGGCAGCAGUGGGGAAUAUUGCACAAUGGGCGGAAGCCUGAUGCAGCAACGCCGCGUGCGGGAUGACGGCCUUCGGGUUGUAAACCGCUUUCGCCUGUGACGAAGCGUGAGUGACGGUACUGGGUAAAGAAGCACCGGCUAACUACGUG
RNAcentral lists this ribosomal RNA (468 nucleotides) under uncultured bacterium. RNAcentral describes it as "partial 16S ribosomal RNA". It matches the Rfam family "Bacterial small subunit ribosomal RNA", at positions 28 to 507 of the family's 1533-position model. The record is from RNAcentral.